AGGGGAGUGAAAAAGAACCUGAAACCGUGUACGUACAAGCAGUGGGAGCACCCUUCGGGGUGUGACUGCGUACCUUUUGUAUAAUGGGUCAGCGACUUAUAUUCUGUAGCAAGGUUAACCGUAUAGGGGAGCCGCAGGGAAACCGAGUCUUAAUUGGGCGUUAAGUUGCAGGGUAUAGACCCGAAACCCGGUGAUCUAGCCAUGGGCAGGUUGAAGGUUGGGUAACACUAACUGGAGGACCGAACCGACUAAUGUUGAAAAAUUAGCGGAUGACCUGUGGCUGGGGGUGAAAGGCCAAUCAAACCGGGAGAUAGCUGGUUCUCCCCGAAAGCUAUUUAGGUAGCGCCUCGUGAAUUCAUCUCCGGGGGUAGAGCACUGUUUCGGCUAGGGGGCCAUCCCGGCUUACCAACCCGAUGCAAACUGCGAAUACCGGAGAAUGUUAUCACGGGAGACACACGGCGGGUGCUAACGUCCGUCGUGAAGAGGGAAACAACCCAGACCGCCAGCUAAGGUCCCAAAGUCAUGGUUAAGUGGGAAACGAUGUGGGAAGGCCCAGACAGCCAGGAUGUUGGCUUAGAAGCAGCCAUCAUUUAAAGAAAGCGUAAUAGCUCACUGGUCGAGUCGGCCUGCGCGGAAGAUGUAACGGGGCUAAACCAU
Molecule: ribosomal RNA, 657 nt
Filed under: Salmonella enterica subsp. enterica
Lineage: Bacteria; Pseudomonadati; Pseudomonadota; Gammaproteobacteria; Enterobacterales; Enterobacteriaceae
Description: partial 23S ribosomal RNA
Rfam family: Bacterial large subunit ribosomal RNA
Source: RNAcentral